GAAUAGAAAUUAACUGUACCCCAGGCUUCACUGAGGGAACUGUAUUUAGACCAAAAUGUGUGUUAGUUACCCUUACAAAUAUUAACACAAAUGACAAAUGAAACACAAAAGAAUUUAUCCACCUACGGUUGGAUAAAUAGGGACUCUCCUUCUGUGUUAAACACCUCGAUAACUCAGAGGUAACUUAUUUAUAACCUGCUAAACACAUAACAGUUCUUAUUUGUAUGAAGGUGCAUACUAUAACUGGCACUGUUUAAUUGGUGGGCCCACCAAACGAAAAAAAAAAACAAUAAAUGCCGGCAGAAUAGUCACAAACACCCCCGUUGCAGGCCUGUUGUUGAUUCCACUCACCCCAGGGUCCUCAACCCCACAGCAACGGACGAAGGUAAGUUCCCAGCUCCUCCUGUCUCCGGACAGCAGUCGAACCCCGCACUCUGUAUCCACGGAGACAAGG
Molecule: long non-coding RNA, 454 nt
Organism: Fundulus heteroclitus (mummichog)
Lineage: Eukaryota; Metazoa; Chordata; Actinopteri; Cyprinodontiformes; Fundulidae
Exons: 2
Source: RefSeq, a predicted model, not a curated record